AGUAUACGAUGCCGACGAGCAAGACUACAUUGGAUAUCUCUGCGGUCUGGGAUACAACCACACUGAACUUCAGAUCCUCACGCAAACUUCGGCUAAGUGUCCUGACAACCCCACAGACCUCAACUAUCCAUCCAUUGCCAUCUCCGAUUUGCGCCGCAGCAAAGUCGUGCAGAGGCGAGUGACGAACGUGGACGAUGAUGCGACGAAUUACACGGCAUCUAUCGAGGCACCGGAGAGUGUGUCGGUGUCGGUUCAUCCAUCGGUGCUGCGGUUCAAGCACAAGGGCGAGACGAAAGCAUUCCAGGUGAUAUUUAGAGUGGAGGACGACUCAAACAUUGAUAAGGAUGUUUUCGGGAAGCUGAUAUGGAGCAACGGAAAGUAUACGGUCACAAGCCCCAUUGCAGUCAAGCCAAGCAGAUCUUAAGCAAUUUUUGGGAUGGAAUAAAAUUUCGAACAUAAAAUAAAAUUUCGAAACAUUCGUGUUCUGGUAGAUUUUUUUGCCUGGUAGAUUUUUUGCCUCGGAGGCUCAUGCAAAAGCCAAUCAAUUUCCAGACCAUGGAUGCCAAGUGCUCCAACUGUCAGCGAACAUCCAUUGGAGCUUAAUCAUUAUUAGUAUAAUCUUGGGGCAAUAUUGAUCACCUUACCUAUCGCAUGCGAAGCAAUUGCUCUACCAUGUGAACUACACCCUUUUAACACACGCCAUUUUUUAUGUUCUCCAUUGUGACCCACAAAAGCAUAUUCGGUCAAGUGAUAUUAAUGGCAAAGAGAACAGGAAGAAAGAAAGAAUUUAGGGUUCUACGGCCCCAGAUGGUCGAUCUGGGGCAGGGAUCUUUGCGUGUGGACGGAGCAUCGAUGGUGUGCAAGGAAUCGGCGAGGUAGCGCUUCCAAUAUCGCUGGACGGCGCCUUUACGCUCCAGGAAGCGCCGCCGUAUGGGCUUGGGAAUCGGACUCUGGUCGACACAGCCGUGCGAAGAGCUUGGCAGAUCGAUGGUGGCAAAGUCUUGUCGCAUUUUUCCAGCCACACUGUCCAAGCCGUCGCUGCUAUUGCUGUUCGUGGCUUGGGGAUGGAUCCGAUUUGUGCAAGCUGCUGGUUUACGAAUCAGGUGGGAAACACAUAUUAUCCAUUUCCUCUCUUUCCUCGUACUCUUUCGUUGUUUGCGUUUUUUCUUGGCUAGUCUUCACUCUAUUUUACGUCCUUGUUUGAUUUCUUACGUGUUUAGAUUUCAGUGUUUCAUAGCUAGUUUCUCUUUGCGUGGGUCUUUCUUAUACUUGGUAGAAGGAAUCUGAUCUUGUUCUUUCACAAGAUGGACAGUUCAAGCUACACCGAGACAUCGAGAAGGAGCCUGGCAUGUUUGCCACUCUCAUACUCCAGCUCCCUGCAUGGUUGCCAGGGAGGUGCUCUCGUGGUUCAGCAUGGCAACCUCACUUUGACGCUGGCUUCAAGGACACCGUCUUCUUUGCCGACUGCGAGCAUGAAAUCCAGCCAGUGAGACGAGGAAGGUGUGCGUGCAUUUCAACCUGGUACGCAAGACGAACGUUAGAUCCAACAGAGCUCUGUGCGAAGUUAGUACCGCGACUGUGCUACGAGUGAAGUCAUCUCUCGCACCUUAGAUCCAGGAUGCAAAUUCGUCGUUAGAGAAGUUGGUCUUUUGUGUACACGGAGACAAAUCUUUGCUUCUCUGGACUUAAAAGAUCAAGACAGGCUGGUGGUGGAGCUCCUAGGAAACGUACCGGUACUGCAGUGCUGCUGUGGUGUUUUGGCAGAAACGCAAGAGCAUCGAGCUCGUUUGCCGGGGCAGGACUUGAAGGAGCUCUGGACAUGGUGGAGUGGAGGGAGCUUCGGACUUCUCGGCUUGGCUCAUAUAUCUAGUUAAGUACUAUAUUGCGGAUAUGAGCUCCUACGAUCACUACAGGAGGAACGGAAACUUUUGCCGCUUGAUCAAGCUUUGCCUUGACUCGGGUGAUUCCAACUAAGUUUAUCGGCUGAUCGAGGUGCUGGGACAGGAAAGAAGCUCCCACAAUCACUACACGAGAUAUCUUUUGAAGGGAUCAAGUCCGUUAAGGUUGCAAAGGUGGUUGCUCAAGCCCCCAAGUUUCUGGGAUGGGAUGCCCCGAGAGAUCUCGUUUUGAAGCUUCUCCGGAGCUAGACCAGUUCGUGUUCUUCUGCCGUAAUCUCGAUAGCUGAGAUGCUCUUCGCCCUGAGGCUGCACGAUCAAAUUCCGUUCUUCAUCGAGUAGAAAGCUGGAACGGGAGAUGUUUGCAAGCUGCUCAUCAACCUCUGGAAGCAAGACGCUGCUCAACGCGUCCGUUGGAAGAACGAUACUUACCUCUAUCCGAAGCUUUGCGGGGUGGUCACAACCACGAGAAGAAAGUUUGUAUCUCGUCAGAUGAAAUCCAAAGAAGAAAUCUUGUUAGGGCUACAAGAUCACCAAAAGAAAAUCUACCAGCAUUGAUCCUGGAAGAAAUCCAGCGUUUCCAGGAGGCGCGCUAUGGCCCGGAAUGGUUUAGGGCUUAGCCUUGUCUGGUCUGCCUGCCAUGGCAAGAAACAUUGCGAAAAAGAUGCUGUGCAAUUGGGCUUAUACUGAAAGUUGCAGCUUUAGCGGACAAACAGCACUAGAUCACUCUAUCAAAGACUGGUGUCCCAGUUAAACUGAGGCUAUUUCAGGGUUAAUGUACACAAUGAUGUUUUUUCAUCCCCAACAUGCACUGUAAGCAUUCAAUAGCUUGAAGUUCUUCCUUCAAUUCACGUGAACUGAAGGAUAAACUUCACUGGCUGAAGCCUUGGAGGUUAAAGUAUAUAAAAUAAUAAAAAAGAAUAUACAAUAUCAAAAUAAUCUUGAUUUUGAAAUUCUAGCCACUACUUAAACCCAUCUUCCUAGCUAGAAGUACGUGAUGCAAACCAGUAUUAACAGCGUCUGGAUGAAGAACACUCCCCAUGAGUGUUUCCUUCUUGUCCGAGCAAAUCAAUCAAGCUGAGAAAGAACUAUUAUAAUCUGUCAGCUAGUGAUGCUAAAUUCUCGUGAUAUAAUUUAACAUCGACAAUUCUCCUGAAUAAGUCGUAUUUCAAAGAGCUAUAAUUUGUAAACUCGUGAUAUACUUUACCAUCACUAGCCCUUGACAAAUUCUCCUGAAUAAGUCAUAUAAGUCAAACAAGCCGGCCUGAGAUGCGCGUCACAGGAAAUUUUCCGCAGUUUCCAAUAUAAAUGAUUACAUCUUCUUCCUGCAAUUCUCAAAUACAAUUCUUCGAGUUCAUGGCGCUCUCAAUCUGUUUAUACGUUCUUCUAAGUUUAAGUGCCAUCUCCAUCUCUCAGGUCUUUACCUUUCUUAUCUCGCAGGAGACAAUCUUUUAAAGCUGGUUUGAUUUUAUUUCCAGGGACGAGAUCAAGGAGACACUCACAUUGUCUAUUUGGGGAAUGUCGAUAAAUCCCUCCAUCCAGACGCUGUUACAAGCUCCCAUCACGCACUCCUUGGGGAUGUUCUAGGAAGGUAAAACUCCAGAAGAAAAAAAUUAUGAAUUCAUCCAAAUUCGUGUAUUCCAGUGUCAAAGCUGCCAGAGAAUCAAUCGGUUUUAGCUACAGGCAUGGAUUUAGUGGCUUCUCGGCUCGUUUGACAGAAGAACAAGCUUCUAAACUCUCUGGUAACGCAUCAUAGAAACAUUAUACAUAAUCUAAGUCAAUAAUCUUUAUCCAUAUUGCAGGUCUCCCAAACGUCUUGUCCGUCUUUCGCAAUGAAAUCCACACGGUCCACACCACAAACUCAUGGGAAUUUCUGGGACUCUAUGGAAGCGGAGAGAAAUCCUUGUUUGGUGCUAGUGAAGCUACUGAAUCAUCGUGGUUAUGGAAGAAAUCAAAAUUCGGCAAGGACGUUAUCAUUGGUGUUUUGGAUUCAGGUAUUUCUCUCUUUCAUCUUCUUCUUGUUUUCAUGGUCGGCAGGAGAAGGUCCGCCGACUUUGCUAGCAUGGGAGAGGGCUUGGACUAAUGUUGGUUUUCCCAGGAGUAUGGCCAGAGUCGGAAAGCUUUUCGGAUCAUGGCAUGGGACCAACCCCCGAAAGAUGGAAAGGAACUUGCGAAACUGGGGAGCAAUUCAACGCUUCUCACUGCAACAAGUAAAAACAACACUCAAGUGAAUUAAAAUUUUUUCAACUUAUGAUCUUUCAGGAAACUUAUCGGUGCCAGAUUCUUUUCUCACGGCCUACAGGAUGGUCCUGAGGCUUAUGCAAAAGCACACCAAGAAGUUCUUUCUCCAAGAGAUGUUCACGGCCACGGAACUCACACGGCUUCCACUGCCGGAGGCCGAUUCGUGAGAAACACAAACUGGCUUGGCUACGCAAAAGGCACUGCAAAAGGUGGCGCUCCAGACUCACGCCUCGCGAUCUAUAAGAUCUGCUGGAGAAACAUCACGAACGGCAGCGCAGGGUGCCCGGAUUCUCACAUUCUCAGCGCAUUUGAUAUGGGAAUCCACGAUGGCGUAGAUAUUUUUUCUGCGUCGAUCAGUGGAUCGGGCGAUUACUUCCAGCACGCACUGUCGAUCGGUUCAUUCCAUGCCAUGCAGAAAGGCAUUGUGGUGGUAGCUUCUGCUGGAAACGACCAGCAAACUGUGGGUCCUGGCUCUGUGCAAAAUGUAGCUCCUUGGGUCAUCACUGUUGGAGCGAGCACUCUUGAUCGAUCCUAUUUUGGAGACCUUUACCUUGGCAACAAUAAAUCAUUUCGGGGUUUAAGUAUGACGGAGCAAAGAUUAAAAAAGCGGUGGUAUCAUCUUGCUGCGGGGGCCGAUGUUGGCUUGCGAACUUCCAACUUUUCAGCCAGGUAAAAUAUCAAUCUAUAGAUUUGAGUUAAAGAAAUAUUAAUGCUGCAGGCAAUUGUGUAUGAGCCAGUCUUUGGAUCCCAAGAAAGUCCGGGGAAAGAUUGUGGCAUGCUUGAGAGGGCCGAUGCAUCCAGCAUUCCAAUCAUUCGAAGUUUCCCGAGCUGGCGGAGCUGGGAUUAUCUUUUGCAACUCCACUCUAGUCGAUCAAAAUCCUGGAAAUGAAUUUCUUCCCUCAGUUCAUGUCGACGAAGAAGUUGGACAAGCCAUCUUUUCAUAUAUCAAAUCUACAAGGUAAAAUCUUCGUUCUUCUUUCUGUUUCUUACCUUUGUGUGCCUGGCAGAAAUCCUGUAGCGGAUAUACAGCAUCAGAUAUCAUUGAGAAAUCAAAAGCCUGCUCCUUUCAUGGCACCUUUUUCUUCCUCUGGUCCCAACUUCAUUGAUCCAGACAUUCUCAAGGUUUGUCAAUGUUUUCUGUCUAUUUGUUUUGGUAGAUUUUGAAGAUUUUUGUUCUUUCAGCCGGAUAUUACAGCUCCAGGAGUAUACAUUCUAGCAGCAAACACACAAUUCAACAACUCUCAAAUAUCAUACAAAUUCGACUCUGGAACUUCCAUGUCUUGCCCUCACGUCACUGGGAUUGUUGCCCUACUAAAAUCCUAUCGUCCAGCCUGGAGUCCAGCAGCAAUCAAAUCAGCCAUAGUAACAACAGGUAACUAAGUGAUACAUCUUUGUUUGUUACUGACACUUCAAAACAAAACAGGUUACUCAUUCGAUAAUCUUGGAGAACCAAUCAAGAACUCAUCAAGAGCUCCUGCAUCACCCUUUGAUUUUGGUGGAGGGCAUGUAAAUCCAAAUGCUGCUGCACACCCUGGCCUAGUAUACGACGCCGACGAGCAAGACUACAUUGGAUAUCUCUGCGGUCUGGGAUACAACCAGACUGAACUUCAGAUCCUCACGCAAACUUCCGCUAAGUGUCCCGACAACCCCACAGACCUCAACUAUCCAUCCAUUGCCAUCUCCGAUUUGCGCCGCAGCAAAGUCGUGCAGAGGCGAGUGACGAACGUGGACGAUGAUGUGACGAACUACACAGCAUCUAUCGAGGCACCAGAGAG
This 5911-nucleotide long non-coding RNA is filed under the name Selaginella moellendorffii. RNAcentral describes it as "long non-coding RNA (SMOE_LNC001204)". Lineage: Eukaryota; Viridiplantae; Streptophyta; Lycopodiopsida; Selaginellales; Selaginellaceae. The record is from RNAcentral.